GAAAUGCGAUAAGUAAUGUGAAUUGCAGAAUUCAGUGAAUCAUCGAAUCUUUGAACGCACCUUGCGCUCCUUGGUAUUCCGAGGAGCAUGCCUGUUUGAGUGUCAUGGAAUUCUCAACUCUAUUUGCUUUUGUGAAUAGAGCUUGGAUUUGGAGGUUUAUUGCUGGUACUUGUGAUCGGCUCCUCUUGAAUGCAUUAGCUCGAACCUUUGCGGAUCAGCUAUCGGUGUGAUAAUUGUCUACGCCGUUGCAGUGAAGCAUAUCAAUGGGCUCGGCUUCCAAUCGUCCUUUACUGGACAAUGACUUUGACCUUUGACCUCAAAUCAGGUAGGAUCACCCGCUGAACUUAAGC
Molecule: unclassified non-coding RNA, 350 nt
Filed under: plant metagenome
Description: partial contains 5.8S ribosomal RNA, internal transcribed spacer 2, and large subunit ribosomal RNA
Rfam family: 5.8S ribosomal RNA (bases 1-105)
Source: RNAcentral